GCCAGAGUGGCGGAAUUGGCAGACGCGCUGCGUUCAGGUCUCAGUGAGCUUACGCUCGUGAAGGUUCAAGUCCUUUCUCUGGUACCA
This 87-nucleotide transfer RNA is filed under the name Victivallales bacterium. Its description in RNAcentral is "tRNA-Leu". It matches the Rfam family "tRNA". From Rfam's summary of the family: Transfer RNA (tRNA) molecules are approximately 80 nucleotides in length. Their secondary structure includes four short double-helical elements and three loops (D, anti-codon, and T loops). The record is from RNAcentral. Lineage: Bacteria; Pseudomonadati; Lentisphaerota; Lentisphaeria; Victivallales.